RNAcentral lists this ribosomal RNA (2316 nucleotides) under invertebrate metagenome. RNAcentral's name for it is "bacterial LSU rRNA". It matches the Rfam family "Bacterial large subunit ribosomal RNA", at positions 573 to 2856 of the family's 2925-position model. The record is from RNAcentral.
GUGGGAGGGCUAUGCCUCUUCGGAGGAAUGUCUAACCGCGUGCCUUUUGCAUAAUGAGCCGGCUAGUUACUCUCAGUGGCAAGGUUAAGCUAAUGGCGAAGCCGCAGCGAAAGCGAGUCUGAAUAGGGCGUCGAGUCGCUGGGAGUAGACGCGAAGCGAAGUGAUCUAUCCUUGACCAGGGUGAAGCUCGGGUAAAACCGAGUGAAGGCCCGAACCAUUGUAGGAUAAAAACUGCUUGGAUGAGUUGAGGAUAGGGGUGAAAGGCCAAUCAAACUUCGUGAUAGCUCGUUCUCCCCGAAAUAGCUUUAGGGCUAGCCUCACGUGAUUCGUGAUGGUGGUAGAGCACUGAAUGGACGCAGGCCCUUCCCCGGGUACUAACUCCAAUCAAACUCCGAAUGCCAUCAACGUUAACGUGGGAGUCAGACAGUGUGAGAUAAGUUGCAUUGUCGAGAGGGAAACAGCCCAGACCGCCAGCUAAGGUCCCCAAAUAAUAACUAAGUGGGCAAGGAUGUGGGGUUGCAUAAACAGCCAGGAGGUUGGCUUAGAAGCAGCCACCCUUUAAAGAAAGCGUAAUAGCUCACUGGUCGAGCGAUCCUGUGCCGACAAUUCAACGGGGCUUAAGUUAUUUACCGAAGCUGCGGAUUCGAUCUUUAGAUCGAGUGGUAGGGGAGCGUUCUGUAUGAGAUACAAGGUAGACUGUAAAGACUGCUAACGGCAUACAGAAGAGACUCUGCCGGCACGAGUAGCGAUAAAACGGAUGAGAACUCCGUUCGCCGAAAGCCCAAGGUUUCCUAGGCAAGGGCAAUCCUCCUAGGGUGAGUCGGUCCCUAAGGCGAGGCCGAAAGGCGUAGUCGAUGGGAAACAGGUUAAUAUUCCUGUACCACUCAAUUCUCGUUUGUACGAUGGGGUGACGCAGAAAGGUAGACCAGCCUGCGACCGGAGGUGCAGGUUGAAGCAUGUAGGGGGGUCCGAUAGGUAAAUCCGUUGGACCAUUAACCCUGAGGUGUGAUCGCGAGUCCUCUUUUGGACGAAGUGGUGGAUCCUACGCUGCCAAGAAAAACCUCUAAGGAGAGAAUUGGGUGACCGUACCGUAAACGGACACACGUGGGCGAGGUGAGUAUCCACAGGCGCUUGAGUGAACCCUUGUGAAGGAACUCGGCAAAAUAGCACCGUAACUUCGGGAGAAGGUGCGCCCUCAUAACGUGAAAGCCCUUGCGGCUGGAGCGGAAGGGGGCUGCAGUGAAAAGGCCCAGGCGACUGUUUACUAAAAACACAGGACUCUGCUAAGUUGUUAAGACGACGUAUAGGGUCUGACGCCUGCCCGGUGCCGGAAGGUUAAGAGGAGGGGUUAGCUUCGGCGAAGCUCUGAAUUGAAGCCCCGGUAAACGGCGGCCGUAACUAUAACGGUCCUAAGGUAGCGAAAUUCCUUGUCGGGUAAGUUCCGACCUGCACGAAUGGCGUAACGAUCUGGGCACUGUCUCCACAAGGGGCUCAGCGAAACUGUAGUACCGGUGAAGAUGCCGGUUACCCGCGGUAAGACGGAAAGACCCUGUGAACCUUUACUAUAGCUUGGCACUGGCUUUUGUUGUUGCAUGUGCAGGAUAGGUGGGAGGCUUUGAAGUCGGAGCGUCAGCUUCGGUGGAGCCAUCCUUGAGAUACCACCCUUGCUGCAUUGAAAGUCUAACCCAGACCCGUUAUCCGGGUCGGGGACAGUGUCUGGUGGGUAGUUUGACUGGGGCGGUCGCCUCCCAAAAUGUAACGGAGGCGCCCUAUGGUACCCUCAGGCUGAUUGGAAACCAGCCGUAGAGCGCAAAGGUAUAAGGGUGCUUGACUGCGAGACAUACAGGUCGAGCAGGUACGAAAGUAGGGCUUAGUGAUCCGGCGAUUCCGAGUGGAAGGGUCGUCGCUCAACGGAUAAAAGGUACUCCGGGGAUAACAGGCUUAUCCUGCCCAAGAGUUCACAUCGACGGCAGGGUUUGGCACCUCGAUGUCGGCUCAUCGCAUCCUGGGGCUGAAGCAGGUCCCAAGGGUUCGGCUGUUCGCCGAUUAAAGCGGUACGUGAGCUGGGUUUAGAACGUCGUGAGACAGUUCGGUCCCUAUCUACCGUGGGCGGAGGAGACUUGAGGAGAUCUGUCCCUAGUACGAGAGGACCGGGAUGGACGAACCUCUGGUGCACCAGUUGUCGUGCCAACGGCAUAGCUGGGUAGCUACGUUCGGAAAGGAUAACCGCUGAAAGCAUCUAAGCGGGAAGCCCACUCCAAGAUGAGGUCUCCCGGGCGCAAGCCCCUAAAGAUCCCAGGAAGACUACCUGGUUGA